GACGAACGCUGGCGGCGUGCUUAACACAUGCAAGUCGAACGGACAGGCCCUGCUUUUGUGGUGCUGACGUGGGGAGCGGGCGUGUGACACACGCGUGGAACGCCCCCCUAUUAGGGUUAGAACCGCUAGAAAAGGCGUAUCAUAUACGAGAUGCUAUAUUUAAGCGGAUGGUUGGACAGUUAUAUAGGUUGAGGAUGGGAGCGCGGGCUAUCUGCUUGUUGGUUGGGUAAUGGCCUACCAAGGCGGCGACGGGUAGCCGGCCUGAGAGGGGGGACGGCCACACUGGGACUGAGACACGGCCCAGACUCCUACGGGAGGCAGCAGUGGGGAAUAUUGCACAAUGGGCGCAAGCCUGAUGCAGCGACGCCGCGUGAGGGAUGACGGCCUUCGGGUUGUAAACAUCUUUCGGCAGGGACGAAGCGAUUGUGACGGUACCUACAGAAGAAGCACCGGCUAACUACGUG
RNAcentral lists this ribosomal RNA (464 nucleotides) under uncultured bacterium. Its description in RNAcentral is "partial 16S ribosomal RNA". It matches the Rfam family "Bacterial small subunit ribosomal RNA", at positions 28 to 507 of the family's 1533-position model. The record is from RNAcentral.